AAGGUACUCCCUCCGUCCGGAAAUACUUGUCCUCGAAAUGGUUGUAUCUAGACUUAUUUUAGUUAUAGAUGCAUCCAUUUUAUCUAUUUCUAGGACAAGUAUUUUCGGGCGGAGGGAGUACUCC
Molecule: non-coding RNA, 124 nt
Organism: Triticum aestivum (bread wheat)
Lineage: Eukaryota; Viridiplantae; Streptophyta; Magnoliopsida; Poales; Poaceae
Source: Rfam